RNAcentral lists this unclassified non-coding RNA (480 nucleotides) under Hevea brasiliensis (rubber tree). Lineage: Eukaryota; Viridiplantae; Streptophyta; Magnoliopsida; Malpighiales; Euphorbiaceae. The record is from RNAcentral.
GAUGGCAAAGAAAAUAGAUGAGAAAGAAAAAGAUGAUGAAUAAUAAAAUAUAUGAGAAAUAAAAAAGAUAAAAAGGAAAAUAGAUAAAAAAAAUGAUAAAAAAAUAAAUGAGAAAAAUGAUGAAGGAAAUAUAUUAGAAAAGAAAAGAUAAUGAAUAAAAUAGAUAAAAAAGAAAAAUAUGAUGAAGAAAAUGAAAGAAGAGAAGAAAGAGAGAAAAAAUGAGUUGUGGUAAAAGAAAACGAGUAAUAGUUUAUAUAAGUGAAUUAGUAAUCAAUUAUCAGUUGCUAAUUUCUUUUAAAAAUUGUACAGAAAUUUUUUAAAGGAAAAUUUUGUAUUUAAUUCGUAAUUGGUUAUAAAAUCAAUUACUAAUAACAACCCAUUUUAAUCGGUUGCAGAAUUUGGUUACUAUUGCAAUUCAAAAAAAAAAACAAAAAAUAGGUGAGAAUUUUUAGGGAGAAAAAAUCGUUCACGUCCUAUUAG